This is a non-coding RNA of Salmo salar (Atlantic salmon), 59 nucleotides long. Lineage: Eukaryota; Metazoa; Chordata; Actinopteri; Salmoniformes; Salmonidae. The record is from Rfam.
UGGCUCAGUUGGUAGAGCAUGGUGUUUGCAACGCCAGGGUUGUGGGUUCGUAUUCCCAC